This 613-nucleotide ribosomal RNA is filed under the name Trichoderma tawa. Its description in RNAcentral is "eukaryotic LSU rRNA". The stretch from base 224 to 377 matches the Rfam family "5.8S ribosomal RNA". Lineage: Eukaryota; Fungi; Ascomycota; Sordariomycetes; Hypocreales; Hypocreaceae. The record is from RNAcentral.
GAACCAGCGGAGGGAUCAUUACCGAGUUUACAACUCCCAAACCCAAUGUGAACGUUACCAAACUGUUGCCUCGGCGGGAUCUCUGCCCCGGGUGCGUCGCAGCCCCGGACCAAGGCGCCCGCCGGAGGACCAACCAAAACUCUUAUUGUAUACCCCCUCGCGGGUUUUUUUUAUAAUCUGAGCCUUCUCGGCGCCUCUCGUAGGCGUUUCGAAAAUGAAUCAAAACUUUCAACAACGGAUCUCUUGGUUCUGGCAUCGAUGAAGAACGCAGCGAAAUGCGAUAAGUAAUGUGAAUUGCAGAAUUCAGUGAAUCAUCGAAUCUUUGAACGCACAUUGCGCCCGCCAGUAUUCUGGCGGGCAUGCCUGUCCGAGCGUCAUUUCAACCCUCGAACCCCUCCGGGGGGUCGGCGUUGGGGAUCGGCCCUCCCUUAGCGGGUGGCCGUCUCCGAAAUACAGUGGCGGUCUCGCCGCAGCCUCUCCUGCGCAGUAGUUUGCACACUCGCAUCGGGAGCGCGGCGCGUCCACAGCCGUUAAACACCCAACUUCUGAAAUGUUGACCUCGGAUCAGGUAGGAAUACCCGCUGAACUUAAGCAUAUCAAUAAGCGGAGGAAA